RNAcentral lists this ribosomal RNA (439 nucleotides) under uncultured bacterium. Its description in RNAcentral is "partial 16S ribosomal RNA". It matches the Rfam family "Bacterial small subunit ribosomal RNA", at positions 339 to 795 of the family's 1533-position model. The record is from RNAcentral.
CUACGGGUCGCAGCAGUGAGGAAUAUUGCACAAUGGGGGGAACCCUGAUGCAGCAACGCCGCGUGGAGGAUGACGCAUUUCGGUGUGUAAACUCCUUUUAUAUGUCAAGAGAAUGACGGUAGCAUAUGAAUAAGCACCGGCUAACUCCGUGCCAGCAGCCGCGGUAAUACGGAGGGUGCAAGCGUUACUCGGAAUCACUGGGCGUAAAGGACGCGUAGGCGGGUUGGAAAGUCAGGUGUGAAACCCUACAGCUUAACUGUAGAACUGCACUUGAAACUUCUAAUCUAGAGUAUGGGAGGGGGAGAUGGAAUUAGUGGUGUAGGGGUAAAAUCCGUAGAUAUCACUAGGAAUACCUAAAGCGAAGGCGAUCUCCUGGAACAUUACUGACGCUAAGGCGUGAAAGCGUGGGGAGCAAACAGGAUUAGAUACCCCGGUAGUC